UACAGAGGGGGGCAAGCGUUAUUCGGAAUUAUUGGGCGUAAAGGGCGCGUAGGCGGCUUGGCAAGUGGAUGGUGAAAUCCCUCGGCUUAACCGAGGAACUGCCGUCCAAACUGCUUCGCUUGAGACCGGGAGAGGUGAGUGGAAUUCCCAGUGUAGCGGUGAAAUGCGUAGAUAUUGGGAGGAACACCAGUGGCGAAGGCGGCUCACUGGACCGGUACUGACGCUGAUGCGCGAAAAGCGUGGGGAGCAAACGGG
RNAcentral lists this ribosomal RNA (255 nucleotides) under uncultured bacterium. RNAcentral's name for it is "partial 16S ribosomal RNA". It matches the Rfam family "Bacterial small subunit ribosomal RNA", at positions 524 to 776 of the family's 1533-position model. The record is from RNAcentral.